CUACGGGAUGCUCCAGUGAGGAAUAUUGCACAAAGGAGGAAACUCUGAUGCAGCAACGCCGCGUGGAGGAUGACGCAUCUCGGUGUGUAAACUCCUUUUAUAUGUCAAGAAAAUGACGGUAGCAUAUGAAUAAGCACCGGCUAACUCCGUGCCAGCAGCCGCGGUAAUACGGAGGGUGCAAGCGUUACUCGGAAUCACUGGGCGUAAAGGACGCGUAGGCGGGAUAUCAAGUCAGGUGUGAAAUCCUACAGCUUAACUGUAGAACUGCACUUGAAACUGGUAACCUAGAGUAUGGGAGGGGGAGAUGGAAUUAGUGGUGUAGGGGUAAAAUCCGUAGAUAUCACUAGGAAUACCUAAAGCGAAGGCGAUCUCCUGGAACAUAACUGACGCUAAGGCGUGAAAGCGUGGGGAGCAAACAGGAUUAGAUACCCCCGUAGUC
RNAcentral lists this ribosomal RNA (439 nucleotides) under uncultured bacterium. RNAcentral's name for it is "partial 16S ribosomal RNA". It matches the Rfam family "Bacterial small subunit ribosomal RNA", at positions 339 to 795 of the family's 1533-position model. The record is from RNAcentral.